GAAAUGCGAUAAGUAAUGUGAAUUGCAGAAUUCAGUGAAUCAUCGAAUCUUUGAACGCACAUUGCGCCCGCCAGAAUUCUGGCGGGCAUGCCUGUUCGAGCGUCAUUUCAACCCUCGAGCUCCCCUUUCGGGGCGAGCCCGGCGUUGGGGACCCGGCGCUAACAACGCCGGCCCCGAAAUGGAGUGGCGGCCCGUCCGCGGCGACCUCUGCGUAGUAACAACCACUCGCACCGGGACCCGGGCGCGGCCACGCCGUAAAACACCCCACCUUCCGAAUGUUGACCUCGAAUCAGGUAGGAAUACCCGCUGAACUUAAGC
This 318-nucleotide unclassified non-coding RNA is filed under the name plant metagenome. RNAcentral describes it as "partial contains 5.8S ribosomal RNA, internal transcribed spacer 2, and large subunit ribosomal RNA". The stretch from base 1 to 105 matches the Rfam family "5.8S ribosomal RNA", at positions 50 to 154 of the family's 154-position model. The record is from RNAcentral.